CAGCAGCCGCGGGAACACGGAGGGUGCAAGCGUUAAUCGGAAUUACUGGGCGUAAAGCGUGCGUAGGCGGUUCGUUAAGUCUGUUGUGAAAGCCCCGGGCUCAACCUGGGAAUGGCAAUGGAUACUGGCGAGCUAGAGUGUGUCAGAGGAUGGUGGAAUUCCCGGUGUAGCGGUGAAAUGCGUAGAGAUCGGGAGGAACAUCAGUGGCGAAGGCGGCCAUCUGGGACAACACUGACGCUGAGGCACGAAAGCGUGGGGAGCAAACAGGAUUAGAUACCCCAGUAGUCCCUGUCUCUUAUAC
RNAcentral lists this ribosomal RNA (301 nucleotides) under uncultured bacterium. RNAcentral describes it as "partial 16S ribosomal RNA". It matches the Rfam family "Bacterial small subunit ribosomal RNA", at positions 509 to 807 of the family's 1533-position model. The record is from RNAcentral.